GACGAACGCUGGCGGCGUGCUUAACACAUGCAAGUCGAACGCUGAAGCACCAGCUUGCUGGUGUGGAUGAGUGGCGAACGGGUGAGUAAUACGUGAGUAACCUGCCCUUGACUCUGGGAUAAGCCCGGGAAACUGGGUCUAAUACUGGAUGCUACAUGUCACCGCAUGGUGGUGUGUGGAAAGGGUUUACUGGUCUUGGAUGGGCUCACGGCCUAUCAGCUUGUUGGUGAGGUAAUGGCUCACCAAGGCGACGACGGGUAGCCGGCCUGAGAGGGUGACCGGCCACACUGGGACUGAGACACGGCCCAGACUCCUACGGGAGGCAGCAGUGGGGAAUAUUGCACAAGGGGCGAAAGCCUGAUGCAGCGGCGCCGCGUGAGGGAUGACGGCCUUCGGGUUGGAAACCUCUUUCAGCAGGGAAGAAGCCACAAGUGACGGUACCUGCAGAAGAAGCGCCGGCUAACUACGUG
This 470-nucleotide ribosomal RNA is filed under the name uncultured bacterium. RNAcentral describes it as "partial 16S ribosomal RNA". It matches the Rfam family "Bacterial small subunit ribosomal RNA", at positions 28 to 507 of the family's 1533-position model. The record is from RNAcentral.